AUGCUUGUCUAAGUGUUACCUUAAUGUCAAGAGAAUAAUCUUGUACAAUGCAUAUUUUAUCUGAUUUUUGCGUAUCCAACCCAUGUGCUUUAUAUUAACCGAACUGAUUUAAAUGUCAUACUCUUGUUUUGUAUGUCAGUGGCAUGUGCAUGUAAAAUCCUUUGCAGAUAGUACAAGAACAACCAAGCCUUCUUACAGAGUGUUAGAUUGCUUGAUGCUGCUACUUCGUAUGCUUGCUUAAGUGUCACCCCAAUGUCAAGAGAAUAAUCUUGUACGAUGAAUAUUUUACAUUUUUUUUGUUCUUGGUACUGUUGUUUUUUUGCUGAUCCACUACACUUGCUUUACAUUAACCAAAAUGAUUUGAGCAAGCAUACUAUUGUUUUAUUGCCGUGGGGUGUACAAGUAAAAUCCAUUGCAGAUACAAGAAUGACUUUUGUGGAGAAACAAAAUUCCCAGCCAUAUUAGCUUUGGGAAUAGUCAUCCUGCAACAUCUUCUUUAAUUCCUCUUGUGGCCAUGAAUCCGUUGGUUAUAAAGUUUGCAAUAACAAAACAACAUCGUGUUUCUUGUAUACUGGAACAUUUUUUUCCAUUUAAGGUAGCUGUUUAUUCAAUGAGAUUUUCUAACUUUGUCCUACUCUAUUAUUUGGUUUCUUGGGGCUUAUCUCUAGAUUAUGGUGAAGCAAGGGGGAGUUGCUUAUAUCCGAGUUGUUGCCACAAGCGACUUUCAUCCUCUAUUGUAGCUUUAGCGAAUAUAGUUGAUGCAUGAUUGCAGAUGCCAAUGAUAGGUGUAUAUGUGAGAAGAGUAUGUGCGUACAUUGGUGUAUGUCUACCAAUAAUGAUUACUAAAAUUCCAAAUUGCACAUAUUGACAGUGGAACCUCCCAGUUUCCAUUUCUCUUCAAGGCUACAUUUGCAUGUAAUUUUUUUUGACAACCAAAUUGCUACAUAGACUACUUUGUUUUAGUAGUGCAGUAUUUUAUGUUCUUCCAUCAGAGGUACUUCAUUCAUUUUUUUACACCUUUGGAUAUAUGACUUCAUCUUUCUUUUAUAUAUAAAAUAGACGCCAGAUGUGUGCAUAACUACUUCCAUGAUGAGCCGAUAUUUGUCGAGCAGGUCAUGCCACGUCUUCCCACCGAGAUCCAGUGGAGACAGCUGGGCCUGUAGCUCAGAGGAUUAGAGCACGUGGCUAUGAACCACCCACGGUGUUAGGGGUUCGAAUCCCUCCUCUUGUCGGUCACCAUCGAGCUCCAAAAUAUGUGAUGAUGUAAAUUGUUUUAUGUGAGAUGUUUAAUGUGUACCGGUGAUGCAGCAUUUUGGACUGCUCUGAAAUAUAAACGGGUAGCUAAUUUUAGGUUGCUUCAAAAUAUGGGCCAUGUAAAUGGAAAGUUCUAUGUCUGAGUCGGAUGUAAGGCUGCUUGUAAUGGGUAGUAUCAUAAGUUAGUAUCAUGCAUAUGAUACUAGUAUAUGAUAUUACCUCCCUAAUGCAUAGUAUCAUAGAUACUUUAUUUAUUGUCAUGCAUGACACAGUAGUAUUGCAUUUUUGCAUUUAUUAUUAUACGAUAUCAUAAUAUGAUAUUCAACCCUCUCUUUCUUCAUUUAAUUCUAUGUCAUCUCAUCUAAAUUGCCUAGUUGGC
Molecule: long non-coding RNA, 1633 nt
Filed under: Triticum aestivum (bread wheat)
Lineage: Eukaryota; Viridiplantae; Streptophyta; Magnoliopsida; Poales; Poaceae
Description: long non-coding RNA (TAES_LNC007486)
Source: RNAcentral